GUUACUUAAUAUAAAGUCUGACCUGCCCACUGAAAUUAUUUUGAAGGGCCGCAGUAUUUUGACUGUGCAAAGGUAGCAUAAUCAUUAGUCUUUUAAUUGAAGGCUGGUAUGAAUGGUUGGAUGAGGUACAAGCUGUGUCAUAAAAAUUAAUAUUUGAAUUUACCUUUUUAGUCAAAAGGCUAAAAUAAAAUUAAAAGACGAGAAGACCCUAUAGAGUUUUAUAUAUUUUAUAUUUAAAUUAUUAAGAUUUUUUAAAUUUAAUUAUUUUAUUAUAUUUUGUUGGGGUGACAAUAAAAUUUAUAAAACUUUUAUUAUUAUUAUACAUUUAUUUAUGAUUAUAUGAUCCAGUUUUAUUGAUUAUAAAUUUAAGUUACCUUAGGGAUAACAGCGUAAUUUUUUUUGAGAGUUCUUAUCGACAAAAAAGAUUGCGACCUCGAUGUUGGAUUAAGAGUAAUUUUGGGUGUAGAAGUUCAAAGUUUAAGUCUGUUCGACUUUUAAAUUCUUACAUGAUC
RNAcentral lists this ribosomal RNA (512 nucleotides) under Simulium mirum. RNAcentral describes it as "partial 16S ribosomal RNA". It matches the Rfam family "Bacterial large subunit ribosomal RNA", at positions 1835 to 2605 of the family's 2925-position model. The record is from RNAcentral. Lineage: Eukaryota; Metazoa; Arthropoda; Insecta; Diptera; Simuliidae.